AGAGAGUAUCUCGUCGAUGAUGCUCACUCGUCCUUUCAUGGCAGCCCAAUGGAGUGGCGUUCGGCCAUCGUUGUCUUGCAAAGAAGAGAGGUCGGUGUCUAAUCUUAGUAGCUCCCUGGUGGUCUCAAGAUGGCCUUUGCUGCAAGCUUGGUGUAAAGGAGUGCAUCCAUUAACGUCCUUCUUCCAUGCAAAAUCUGGGCGUAUUUUUAAGAUUUCCUUCACAAUUUCUGUAUGUCCUCCCAAAGCUGCAACGUGAAGAGAAGUAGUAAGCCCAUCGACCUCCAACAUGAGUAGAUGUUGAAAAUUCAAGAGACAAUUCACCACAUCAAGUCGCAGGCCGCAAAGAGAGCAGUCUCGUUGUCUUGGUUCACCUUAUAAACUACCCAAGGAUCGCUCUCUACCAAUAGCAUCACCAUAUCCGUUCUCCCUUCUCUGCAUGCCUCAAACAAUGGGGUCUCCGAUUUCUCGUUCACCUCCGACACCAUCUCUGGCUUCAGCUUUAGAAUCUCCUUCGCCAAUUCGAGAGGCCCAAAACGUGCUGCUAAGUGUAGAAUGGUGUUUGAGGACCAUGUAGUGAUUGUUUUGUCAAUGAUGUUUUCAUUUUCUCGAAUUAGGCUAAGAAAGGUCGGUAUGUCCCCUCUCAAGAUGGUCUCUUGUAGCCGUCGGUCCAUCUCUGUAGUUAGAGGGAGAGCUCAGAGAAGUUGAUAAUGGAGGAAACGAUUUGCGCUUGGAGGGAAGCAGAAAGAGACUAAAUAAUGAUAUGAAGGAAGAGCCCUUUUUUUUUCCACAGCUGCAGAAACCAUGAAGUUUCUUUGCAGCUGCUGAGGGUUUUUGAAACAUUUUUACAAGUGAACCUCCUUUGGUCAGUUGCAUGGGGCCGACAUAUAAAUGGAUCGUUUUGAGCAAAUUGCUUGUGCGUGUGCG
Molecule: unclassified non-coding RNA, 924 nt
Filed under: Hevea brasiliensis (rubber tree)
Lineage: Eukaryota; Viridiplantae; Streptophyta; Magnoliopsida; Malpighiales; Euphorbiaceae
Source: RNAcentral